Molecule: long non-coding RNA, 2061 nt
Filed under: Capra hircus (goat)
Lineage: Eukaryota; Metazoa; Chordata; Mammalia; Artiodactyla; Bovidae
Description: lncRNA (ENSCHIG00010010406.1)
Source: RNAcentral
AUGGACUUUAGAGUCCAUGCAAUUCUCCAGGCCAGAAUACUGGAGUGGGGAGCCUUUCCCUNNNNNNNNNNNNNNNNNNNNNNNNNNNNNNNNNNNNNNNNNNNNNNNNNNNNNNNNNNNNNNNNNNNNNNNNNNNNNNNNNNNNNNNNNNNNNNNNNNNGCCAGAAUACUGGAGUGGGGAGCCUUUCCCUUCUCCAGAGGAUCUUCCCAUCUGCCCAUCUGAGGAAGGGCAAUAGGAAGAUAGGGGCUGCUGUGGAAGCCCAUGCCAGGAGCUGUGAAUUCCAUGUAGCAGAUGGAACCCACUGGAAAAUGGUGUGGGCUAUUAUUUUUAACCAAACGCAUCAAGGAGAACAAUCGAAGUGGUUAAUAUGAACAGUUCCAAAGUUUCAAGGUAUAGUUUGUGGAACAUACUACUUCCUGUUGAUUUUCUUACAAAGCAGGCCUUUCAAGAAAUCAAGUUUCAUGAAGUAAUUACACUACCAUACUUUAAAAAAUUAUUUAGUUUCACAAAUAGCCUUUUCAGAGAUAUACAAAACAAAUAGUGUUUGGACAGUUAAUCUAAAUAAGACAGGCAAGACUGACACAAAGGGAGGAAUAACUGAUUUUAUCUCUUUAAAGAAAAUUGCUUAACACACCUAACUGACAAACUCAGUGCUGGAGCUGUAUUUACUGGUUUACAUCAGUGAUGUGGCAAUAUUUAAGUUGGCAGUUUUAAUUUGAUCCCAAGAGAAUCUUACUAUGUUGUAGUCCACAGAAUAAGAAAAAAAAAAAAACCCACUUAAUAAUUAUAGUACAUGUGGACUUAAGUUUCUUCCUUCCACUUUUUUUUUUUACAGUAUUUGCCAAACAUCUGCUUUUCUUCUGACAUUCUGUCCAAUGGAUGAACAGCUGAUUAUUCAGUAUUCUGUCUACAAACAUCCAACAUAUUGAUUGAACACUAGGCUAAAAAGCACAAAGUUUACUGAUGGACCACUGAAUUAAAAUGUCAAAUUUUUGCCCAUGAAUCCUGCGUCUCAAGAUAGAAAAGGGUUUGGAACAUGGGACUCCUUGGGGAAGCUUACAGUUCUUGGGAAAUCAUAACAAUAAGAACAGAAAGCAUUUAUUGAGCCCUAAAUUAGCCAGAUAAACCACAAUAGUGCAUAAAAUGCUUUUUAAUAUUGAGGAUAGUGGAUGACGCUGGCCUACUUUUUAAGAAAGUGGAAAAUAAGCAAACAAUGUGAUCCCCAAUGUAGUGGGGUUUUGUGUGUAAUAAAUAUGUAAAUACUAUUAUUCCACAGUUCUGAGCUUUUAAUUGGAAAUGAUUAAAAACACAAACUCCAAGAACCAGAAACUUCCUUCCAAUUUAGGGAAGAUACUGAUUUUCUUGAACAGAAGUUAAUAUUUUGUGGGAAAUCAACUCAAUGGACAGGAUGUGUGAAAAAUUAUAGUUAUACAGGCUGGGGAUGGGGUAAGGGGAAGCCUGUGAUGCUAAAAGAAAAAGGUGGAAUAUAAAAAUGCAUGAUGUUAAAUAGCCACCCAAUAAACUACAUAGGUCUAUGGACAAAGACUGGAAAGGAACAAUAAAACCACAGAUGGUUUAGAGCAGUGAAACCCUGGAUCAUUUUUGUUGUUGUUGUUUUUGUUUUCUUUUUACUGUUCUUCCAGUUUUUAAAUGAAAUAAGUAUGUAGAAGCAGCUCAUCUCCAAGAGCCCCUGGGAGGAGCUUGAAGGAGGUGGAAAGCUCCAGUGGAAGCAAAACCACCGGUAGUAGAAGUGAGCUCUGCACAGCCCCAGGAGCAGCAGGAAAGCCAGCAGCAGCACGCCGACAGCCAGCGGGCUGACGUUCCGCUGAUGCCCACGGCCAGCGCAGUGCAGAUCCCACCCAUCGAGGUCUGCGCACUCACAUCACUUCCCGGGUCAGCUGUGACAACGCACAAACAGAAGUCAGCAGUGAGCCAUGGCCAAAACACCUGUAUUUUUGUCCUCACUGGCCAGUCAGCUCUCAACCUCUACACUUCAGCCUCAUACUUCGGGAAGAAUAUGGAAAAAUCCAUCAGGGGUCAGUCGCUGCUGUUGUUCACUC